GACGAACGCUGGCGGCGUGCUUAACACAUGCAAGUCGAACGGAAAGGCCUCUUUUGGGGGGUACUCGCGUGUGGAACGGGUGAGUAACACGUGUGUAACCUUCUCUUGACUUUGGGAUAACUUCAGGAAACUGGGGCUAAUACCGGCUAGCAGCUCCUGCUGCAUGGCGGGGGUUGGAAAGGUUCGGCGCUUUGGGGUGGACUCGUGGCUUAUCAGCUAGUUGGUGGGGUAGAGGCCUACCAAGGCGUCGACCAGUAGCUGGCCUGAGAGGGCGACCAGCCACACUGGGAGUGAGACACGGCCCAGACUCCUACGGGAGGCAGCAGUGGGGAAUUUUGGACAAAGGGCGAAAGCCUGAUCCAGCAAUGCCGCGUGUGUGAAGAAGGCCUUCGGGUUGUAAAGCACUUUUGUCCGGAAAGAAAUCCUUGGCCCUAAUACGGUCGGGGGAUGACGGUACCGGAAGAAUAAGCACCGGCUAACUACGUG
RNAcentral lists this ribosomal RNA (486 nucleotides) under uncultured bacterium. RNAcentral's name for it is "partial 16S ribosomal RNA". It matches the Rfam family "Bacterial small subunit ribosomal RNA", at positions 28 to 507 of the family's 1533-position model. The record is from RNAcentral.